This 92-nucleotide transfer RNA is filed under the name Acrocarpospora macrocephala. Its description in RNAcentral is "tRNA-Glu". Lineage: Bacteria; Bacillati; Actinomycetota; Actinomycetes; Streptosporangiales; Streptosporangiaceae. The record is from RNAcentral.
UGUGCGCGGACGGCCCGCCGACGCCGGGCACGCUCUCCACGUGCAGGGGCAGGGCAGCGGCCAGCGGCGGUUCGGCCACCGGCGUGCACACC